This 67-nucleotide transfer RNA is filed under the name Marmota monax (woodchuck). RNAcentral's name for it is "tRNA.Ala". The record is from RNAcentral. Lineage: Eukaryota; Metazoa; Chordata; Mammalia; Rodentia; Sciuridae.
GGUCAUAGCUCAUUGGUAGAGUGCUUGCCCAGCAUGUGUGAGGCCCUGGGUUUGAUUCUCAGCACCA